This 642-nucleotide ribosomal RNA is filed under the name uncultured bacterium. RNAcentral describes it as "bacterial SSU rRNA". It matches the Rfam family "Bacterial small subunit ribosomal RNA", at positions 107 to 765 of the family's 1533-position model. The record is from RNAcentral.
UGAGUAACGCGUGAGGAACCUGCCUCAAAGAGGGGGACAACAGUUGGAAACGACUGCUAAUACCGCAUAAGCCCACGGGUCGGCAUCGACCAGAGGGAAAAGGAGCAAUCCGCUUUGAGAUGGCCUCGCGUCCGAUUAGCUGGUUGGUGAGGUAAUGGCCCACCAAGGCGACGAUCGGUAGCCGGACUGAGAGGUUGAACGGCCACAUUGGGACUGAGACACGGCCCAGACUCCUACGGGAGGCAGCAGUGGGGAAUAUUGCACAAUGGGGGAAACCCUGAUGCAGCGACGCCGCGUGGAGGAAGAAGGUCUUCGGAUUGUAAACUCCUGUUGUUGAGGAAGAUAAUGACGGUACUCAACAAGGAAGUGACGGCUAACUACGUGCCAGCAGCCGCGGUAAAACGUAGGUCACAAGCGUUGUCCGGAAUUACUGGGUGUAAAGGGAGCGCAGGCGGGAAGACAAGUUGGAAGUGAAAUCUAUGGGCUCAACCCAUAAACUGCUUUCAAAACUGUUUUUCUUGAGUAGUGCAGAGGUAGGCGGAAUUCCCGGUGUAGCGGUGGAAUGCGUAGAUAUCGGGAGGAACACCAGUGGCGAAGGCGGCCUACUGGGCACCAACUGACGCUGAGGCUCGAAAGUGUGGG